UGGGGAAUAUUGGGGCAAUGGAGGCAACUCUGACCCAGCAACGCCGCGUGAGCGAUGAAGGUCUUCGGAUUGUAAAGCUCUUUAAGUGGGGACGAAGAAAGUGACUGUACCCACAGAAUAAGUCCCGGCUAACUACGUGCCAGCAGCCGCGGUAAUACGUAGGGGACAAGCGUUAUCCGGAAUGACUGGGCGUAAAGGGUGCGUAGGUGGUUUGGCAAGUUGGUAGCGUAAUUCCGGGGCUCAACUUCGGAACUACUACCAAAACUGCCGGGCUUGAGUGCAGGAGGGGCAUAUGGAAUUCCUAGUGUAGCGGUGGAAUGCGUAGAUAUUAGGAGGAACACCAGUGGCGAAGGCGAUAUGCUGGACUGUAACUGACACUGAGGCACGAAAGCGUGGGGAGCAAACAGGAUUAGAUACCCUGGUAGU
RNAcentral lists this ribosomal RNA (426 nucleotides) under uncultured Anaerovorax sp. RNAcentral's name for it is "bacterial SSU rRNA". It matches the Rfam family "Bacterial small subunit ribosomal RNA", at positions 355 to 794 of the family's 1533-position model. The record is from RNAcentral. Lineage: Bacteria; Bacillati; Bacillota; Clostridia; Peptostreptococcales; Anaerovoracaceae.